Molecule: long non-coding RNA, 3510 nt
Filed under: Malus domestica (apple)
Lineage: Eukaryota; Viridiplantae; Streptophyta; Magnoliopsida; Rosales; Rosaceae
Description: long non-coding RNA (MDOM_LNC001577)
Source: RNAcentral
CUGCCUCGAAAUAUUUAUUUUCGGGAAUAAUUAUCGGUGAUAGGCCCAACUAAACUCUUGUUUAAUUAACUAUCAUUACUUACGAUUCUCUACUUCAAUUUUCUCCAUUUCUCACUUAUUGAUUUAUGACCAACAUUUAACCACCAAAACAUAAGGUUAAAUCUUAAAUUUUUCACCAAAGUCCUUACUUAGCUCAAUUCCUCAAACAAGGUUUUUGUCUCUAUUAUUUAAGGCUACAUCUAACACUGUUAGACUGCCUACGUACUCUUGAUCGGGAUCAAGCUUUUCGUAGUUCACAUUUCCUUCCUUCCUUUCUUUAUCAAUUUCCAAACAUAUUCUAGUAACCACCAUAUUUACCAUUAGCUUUCACAAUCAAAUCACAUCAAAUGGUUACCAAUUAUGGAUUCAGAAUAUCAAAUUUUGCAUGAAAAAGAUAAUGGCGGCCUGCUGGUCAAGUGCCGCCUCGAAUUGCCGGAAAAUAUCAACUAUUUCAAAAAAUUACCAAGUUUUACAGGAAAGUAGAUCUCAGUAAGGGGAACAACUUUCAUACAUGUGGCCAAGUCUAAUUUGUUCCGGAAACACCUAAAAUUGGCAACGAGCCGCCGGAAACCCUUGAUUUUGGGUGUUCUUGAUUCGCCUCUAAAACCACUUUGACGCCCCAACCAAUGCCCGGGCUUUGUUCUUGAGGUUGAGGGGAGACUAUGGGUGGUGGUGAUGAGCAGAGUUAGCUUCAUAUCAUCGUGAAUUGAAGCUAAAGCGCCUCUCCGUACGGUUUCCUCUCAAAAUCCACCAAAUUUUAUUAAAUUUUCGAAUGAAAAUAGCAGAGGGAUCGAAUGGCCUCGAGGUAAGGGUCAUUUUGACACCAACAUCGUCGUCAAUGGUGGCUAGAGUUGGGAGAUGGAACCGGGUCGGGUCACGGGUACUCAAAGGGGAUUCGAUUCCCUUUCUUUUAUUUUCUCAUUUCCCCUCCUUUCUUUUCUUUCUGAUUGGCCCUCCUUCUCUCCUUUCCCUCAUUUCUCUCAUUUCUUUCCUCCCCUUUUCAUCUCAGCCGUCCACGCAGCCCCACAGGAUUGCUCCAGAAAUUGAAGCCUUCUAGAUUAAAGAUUAAAUUUACAAAAAUAUCCCUAACUUCAAACGUUAAUAACUCUUUCGUUAUGAUUCCGUUUCACGAAUGGUUUGCGUCCACGCAUUCAUAAGAUGGAGCUCUAUUCAAAAAUAUAAAUUGUGACCUCGAAUGGUCUACGAAUUUUAAAUAAUUAAUUUCCAAACUUCAAACUUCGUAACCAGUUUAAUUUAAAACUAAACUCAAACAAAUUAAUAUAAUUUCUCGAAAAAUAACAUAAAAUCUCAAUAAUGCCAAUACAUGGAUUAUAAUAAUUUCCAGAAACAAAACUUUACAAUUUUCCCAAUUUUAUUUUCGUAACCGUAAAUCUAUUUAUUUUCGAUUUUCUUCACAUAUUCAUAAUUAUGAAUAUAUAAUUCAUAUGUUUAAAUUUUCAGGGUAUUACAUUCACCCCCAGUUAAAAUAAAUCUCGUCCCCGAGAUUUCAACCAUUGAAUAACGAAAAGGAAUUAGAAUUAUUUCCACCAUUCCUUUAAUGGUGAAUGAUAUCAUAAUCUCAGUUUACGAUUUUAUUUAGGCUCCAAAAUAAGCAUCCAACGAAUAAUAAUUAUGAUUCUCACCCACACUCUCAGAUUCCCAGCCACAUUCAUUGGCAAAAUAAAUAUCUCAUACACAUUGGCAAAAAUAAUAUCAACCUUAAACCAUAAUUCUUGUUGGCUAAAUAAAUACCAAAACAUCAAACCACAUCAACCAUUGGCUAGAUAUAUACUAGCAUAAUAACCACGAUUAUCAUAAAUUCCAGCCAUAACCAUCUUUAGUCAAUUAAAUAUCAUAAUUUCAAGCCAUAAUCUUUAGUGGCUAAGUAAAUAUCAAAAUUUUAACCAACCAUUAAAAUUUCCAAUCACACUCACUAAGUGGGAAGGAGUUUAAAACCAAAUAUGCAAUACCAUUAACAUUGAACGAAAUCAAUCUCAUUCUAUGAUUUCAUUUCAUAUCCACCAUUAAACUAAAUUACCCAUAGUAAAUUUAAAACCUUAUUUUUUUUCUUUAUUUCAAUUGGUUCUCUUUGAAAUUGCUUCAAAGUGUAGAAUAAAUUUGUGAGCCACACUUCUAGAGCACUAUUCACAUUUCAUCAAUCAAUGAAGAGGGAUUUAUAUAUUGUACAACUUUAUUGGCCAACAAAACUAAUCCUUAUUAAUCACAUAGUCAUGAAAAUACGUGUUCUUCCUCAGGUCUGUUCGCAAUAUCAAAUCUAACAAUAAUAACUCAUGACUAUGGUAACCAAACCAAUCUAGUUUGUAUUUACAAGCUUUCCCCAACAAUUAUUUCCAUCAACUGUAAAUACACAAUUGGGAAGUCGUUUAUAUUAAAUGAACUCAAUGUUUCAUUCCAUAAUUUUACUCAUAUCCACCAAUAAUAAAUGAAGGAAACUUCAUGGUCUUUCCACCAUUUCAAAUUAUAAUAACCAAAUCAUAACCUCAGUUUAUGAUUUCAUUCUCAUUCGAUGAAUCUUCAUACGAAAUCCCAUUCACAGUAAUUGGAAAUUUAUAUCAUAAUUAUUGGUAAUACCACUUACCAUUUCUUUUGGCAACACCAAUAUCAGAGAUUCUGGUCAUAAACAAUAUUGGCAACAUCAAAUGUCAAAAUUCAAGCCAUGACUAUCGUGGCUAACAAAAUAUCAGAAUUUCACACCAUAAUUCGUUAAUGGCAAACCAACCAAUCAAAUUCGUAAUUUAUAAAAUUUCCUCGUCAAUUCUCCUCAUCAAACACAAAAACUCAACUGGAAAUUUUUAUAUUAAACGAACUCAGGAUCUCAUUCCAUAUUUUCAUUCAUGUCCACCAAUAAUAAAUGAAGAAAUCUUUAUGAUCGUUGUCAAAACAAUGUUUCCACCACCAUUUUUUUUUCCAAUCAGCUACUAGUGGACUGGAAAAGAUUGUAAUAUACCUGGCCAAUACACAUCACAUAUUCUUAUUACUUCAAUAAUUCAUUCUCACAGCCUACACAUGGAGCUUUUCUCCCGAAAAUACUCAGUCUUUAUGCCCAUUCAAUCACUUUUCCACAUUCCAUGGGUCAUUUCGCCCAAAUCCACAUCCACGGGCUUCUUUUUUCUUUAUUUUUUUUUUCGCCCAAAUCAAUAUCCACGAGCUUUUUCGUCCAAAUCAACAUCCUUAGGCCUUUUUGCCCACAUCACACAUCUUCGGGUCUUUGUGCCCAUAUUACUCAUCCUCCAAUUCCACGGGCUAUCACGCCCAAAUUGACAUCCACAGGCCUUUUUCGCCCAAAUCAACAUCGACGACAUUUUCUACCCAAUUCAAUAUUUCUCACAGGCAUAGGUAUAAUACAACUCUUCCAUCUACAUGUCACAAUUCCACUAUCAUCUUAACAUUCAAAUAUUUUCAUAACUCAUAACAUAAUAUCAAUCCCAUUUAAGAUUUAUCCGAGACUUG